This 489-nucleotide ribosomal RNA is filed under the name uncultured bacterium. RNAcentral's name for it is "partial 16S ribosomal RNA". It matches the Rfam family "Bacterial small subunit ribosomal RNA", at positions 30 to 506 of the family's 1533-position model. The record is from RNAcentral.
UGACCGCUGGCGGUAGGCCUAACACAUGCAAGUCGAACGGCAGCACAGUAAGAGCUUGCUCUUACGGGUGGCGAGUGGCGGACGGGUGAGGAAUACAUCGGAAUCUACUUUUUCGUGGGGGAUAACGUAGGGAAACUUACGCUAAUACCGCAUACGACCUACGGGUGAAAGCAGGGGAUCUUCGGACCUUGCGCGAUUGAAUGAGCCGAUGUCGGAUUAGCUAGUUGGCGGGGUAAAGGCCCACCAAGGCGACGAUCCGUAGCUGGUCUGAGAGGAUGAUCAGCCACACUGGAACUGAGACACGGUCCAGACUCCUACGGGAGGCAGCAGUGGGGAAUAUUGGACAAUGGGCGCAAGCCUGAUCCAGCCAUACCGCGUGGGUGAAGAAGGCCUUCGGGUUGUAAAGCCCUUUUGUUGGGAAAGAAAAGCAGCAGGUUAAUACCCCGCUGUUCUGACGGGACCCAAAGAAUAAGCACCGGCUAACUUCGU